UAGGGAAUAUUGCUCAAUGGGCGAAAGCCUGAAGCAGCAACGCCGCGUGUGCGAUGAAGGUCUUCGGAUCGUAAAGCACUUUUCUGGGAGAUGAGAAAGGACAGUAUCCCAGGAAUAAGUCUCGGCUAACUACGUGCCAGCAGCCGCGGUAACACGUAGGAGGCGAGCGUUAUCCGGAUUCACUGGGUGUAAAGCGCGUGCAGGCGGUUUGGUAAGUUGGGCGUGAAAGCUCCCGGCUCAACUGGGAGAGGUCGUCCAAUACUACCAGACUAGAGAGCAGAAGAGGAAGAUGGAAUUCCAGGUGUAGUGGUGAAAUGCGUAGAUACCUGGAGGAACACCAGUAGCGAAAGGCGAUCUUCUGGUCUGUUUCUGACGCUCAGACGCGACAGCUAGGGUAGUAAACGGGAUUAGAGACCCCGGUAAUCCUAGCCGUAAAACGAUGUGAACUUGGCGUUUGGUGGCUUAAAACACC
RNAcentral lists this ribosomal RNA (472 nucleotides) under uncultured Chloroflexota bacterium. RNAcentral describes it as "bacterial SSU rRNA". It matches the Rfam family "Bacterial small subunit ribosomal RNA", at positions 355 to 840 of the family's 1533-position model. Lineage: Bacteria; Bacillati; Chloroflexota. The record is from RNAcentral.